RNAcentral lists this long non-coding RNA (1485 nucleotides) under Oryctolagus cuniculus (rabbit). RNAcentral's name for it is "lncRNA (ENSOCUG00000033123.1)". Lineage: Eukaryota; Metazoa; Chordata; Mammalia; Lagomorpha; Leporidae. The record is from RNAcentral.
AUGGGAUGGCGAGUUCUGAAGUCACCUGCUUUCCCAUUGAACAGCUUCUUGAGUUUAAGCAAGGAUGCUGCAAAGUGGCGUAUUAAGGCAGGAAGGGAGGAUUGUUCUUUGUUCUGUUGGGAACAGGCGAAUGUGGCACCAGCCCUAAGCCGAGCUUUUGAGUCUAGGCCAUGCCCACUGCUGGGGCAGACAGGUACUCUCCUCAACAUCACCAACCCUCCCUCUGGGGUGACCCUUUCCAUCUGCUGUGAGUGGCAUGAGCUGGGGGUGGGAAGAGGGCUACCCCAAGAGAGAGCACCAUGUGGGCAGUCUCUUGAUCUGGGGUGGGGGCUGGAGAUUAUGAAUGGGGUCAGGAGCGGCUGUGAGCUUUGGGGAAGGAGCCGGGCCUGCAGCCUGGACAGAGGGUUCUCCCUCAAGUCCAAGAUACUGGAAUUCCAGCCCCACUGGCCUUCUUGUUCGGGAGAGGGACCUGUGCCUCUUUUUCCACCAGGUGACCAAGGGUCUGGAGUCUUCCUGCACAGAUGCAUUGGACAGCACACAGAGGCUACCCAGAGGCCUCCAAAGUUACUGAAAAUACGUGUGAUACUACAACUACGGAUGGAACAGUAUCUACCCUGAAGGUUUUGAUAAGGAGCCUGUUUUCAAGGGAGCCAGUCGUUUACUCUGGGUUCUGUUGUUCUGAGUCUCUCUCUGGCCAGGUGGGUUGAUCUCUUUGUACUCCCUGUCAGACCUUCGCUGCAGGGCAUAGCUUGGGUGGGUCCUUCUUCAUGCUGCCCGGGCGUUCUUAGCGCUCUGCGCUCUGUGUGCUCACGCCUCAGACAUCAGCGGUUGGGAGCGAUCUGGAGGCAUUUAGGUUUCCUGCGCAACCUUGCAUGAUCAAGUUCGAGACCACCCCAAGGCUUGAACAUUUCCAACACGGGCCCAUGAUGCGACGUCAGUGCUGGGCCCCUUGGUCCUGUCCGUCCUCUGCCAUCCGCCCUGGCACCCGUGCAGGCUGUCCCAGAAAGGACAGGGCCCAGCUCGCCGCAGUGCCCCGGGCCGCAGUGGGAGCCACCUCCCGCUGCCCCAGUCUCUCUCCCUCCGUCUCCCAGCCUCAGCCCACGCCCUGGCCCGCUCGGCCUGGGUGCAGGCGGCGCCCAGCCUCCAGGCCAGUACCCUCAGUGGGUCCCCACGCUCAGGUUUUCCGGAACCCUGGAGAAGGUCCUGGCCCUUUGCCUUGAGAUGCCCCCUUUCAGGACUGAGGAUAGCAGCAGGAUCCCUUCAACCAAAGCCCUCCGGGCCUGACCCCGCCUCCACCUCCACCUCCCAGGCCGUCAAACUGCAAAAGAAACCCCUCCAGACCUGUUAACGCCCGGCCCGACAUGUGCGCAUGCCCAGUGCGGCCCAUAGCUGACUGUUCCCCGGAAUGGCGUUGAUGGGCAACAGCCGCCAUUUUGAGUGUGUCGUGUGCAAAAAAUAAAUAAAUAAAUAAACCACGCUUGCGCA